CGUGAGCGAAGAAGGCCUUCGGGUCGUAAAGCUCUGUUGUUAGGGAAGAACAAGUACGAGAGUAACUGCUCGUACCUUGACGGUACCUAACCAGAAAGCCACGGCCAACUCUGUGCCAGCAGCCGCGGUAAGACAGAGGGGGCAAGCGUUGCUCGGAAUCACUGGGCGUAAAGGGCGCGUAGGCGGGAUGGCAAGUCAGUCGUGAAAUCUCUCGGCUCAACCGAGAAACGUCGGCUGAUACUGCCGUUCUUGAGGGAUGCAGAGGAGACUGGAAUUCCCGGUGUAGCGGUGAAAUGUGUAGAGAUCGGGAGGAACACCGGUGGCGAAGGCGGGUCUCUGGGCAUCUCCUGACGCUGAGGCGCGAAAGCGUGGGGAGCAAACGGGAUUAGAUACCCCGGUAGUCCACGCUGUAAACGAUGACGACUAGGUGUGGGGUGGUUCAGUCCAUUCCGUGCCGCAGCUAACGCAUUAAGUCGUCCGCCUGGGGAGUACGGCCGCAAGGUUG
Molecule: ribosomal RNA, 505 nt
Filed under: uncultured bacterium
Lineage: Bacteria
Description: bacterial SSU rRNA
Rfam family: Bacterial small subunit ribosomal RNA
Source: RNAcentral